GACGAACGCUGGCGGCGUGCCUAACACAUGCAAGUCGAGCGAAUGAAGUUCCUUCGGGACUGGAUUUAGCGGCGGACGGGUGAGUAACACGUGGGCAACCUGCCUCAUAGAGGGGAAUAGCCUCCCGAAAGGGAGAUUAAUACCGCAUAAGAUUGUAGUACCGCAUGAUACAGCAAUUAAAGGAGCAAUCCGCUAUGAGAUGGGCCCGCGGCGCAUUAGCUAGUUGGUGAGGUAAUGGCUCACCAAGGCGACGAUGCGUAGCCGACCUGAGAGGGUGAUCGGCCACAGUGGGACUGAGACACGGCCCAGACUCCUACGGGAGGCAGCAGUGGGGAAUAUUGCACAAUGGGGGAAACCCUGAUGCAGCAACGCCGCGUGAGUGAUGACGGCCUUCGGGUUGUAAAGCUCUGUCUUCAGGGACGAUAAUGACGGUACCUGAGGAGGAAGCCACGGCUAACUACGUG
RNAcentral lists this ribosomal RNA (464 nucleotides) under uncultured bacterium. RNAcentral describes it as "partial 16S ribosomal RNA". It matches the Rfam family "Bacterial small subunit ribosomal RNA", at positions 28 to 507 of the family's 1533-position model. The record is from RNAcentral.